UACGGGGGGGGCAAGCGUUGUUCGGAAUUACUGGGCGUAAAGGGCUCGUAGGCGGCCAACUAAGUCAGACGUGAAAUCCCUCGGCUUAACCGGGGAACUGCGUCUGAUACUGGAUGGCUUGAGUUUGGGAGAGGGAUGCGGAAUUCCAGGUGUAGCGGUGAAUGCGUAGAUAUCUGGAGGAACACCGGUGGCGAAGGCGGCAUCCUGGACCGAUACUGACACUGAGGAGCGAAAGCCAGGGGAGCAAACGGG
Molecule: ribosomal RNA, 252 nt
Filed under: uncultured bacterium
Lineage: Bacteria
Description: partial 16S ribosomal RNA
Rfam family: Bacterial small subunit ribosomal RNA
Source: RNAcentral